Molecule: transfer RNA, 72 nt
Filed under: Bos taurus (domestic cattle)
Lineage: Eukaryota; Metazoa; Chordata; Mammalia; Artiodactyla; Bovidae
Also listed under: 2 other names
Rfam family: tRNA
About the family: Transfer RNA (tRNA) molecules are approximately 80 nucleotides in length. Their secondary structure includes four short double-helical elements and three loops (D, anti-codon, and T loops). Further hydrogen bonds mediate the characteristic L-shaped molecular structure. tRNAs have two regions of fundamental functional importance: the anti-codon, which is responsible for specific mRNA codon recognition, and the 3' end, to which the tRNAs corresponding amino acid is attached (by aminoacyl-tRNA synthetases). tRNAs cope with the degeneracy of the genetic code in two manners: having more than one tRNA (with a specific anti-codon) for a particular amino acid; and 'wobble' base-pairing, i.e. permitting non-standard base-pairing at the 3rd anti-codon position.
Source: Rfam by way of RNAcentral
UUCCUUGUGGUCCAGUGGUUAGGACUUGGUGCUUUCACUGCUGUGGCCUAGGUUCAAUCCCUUGUCAGGGAA